This 435-nucleotide ribosomal RNA is filed under the name uncultured bacterium. RNAcentral describes it as "partial 16S ribosomal RNA". It matches the Rfam family "Bacterial small subunit ribosomal RNA", at positions 29 to 507 of the family's 1533-position model. The record is from RNAcentral.
AGCGAACGCUGGCGGCAGGCUUAACACAUGCAAGUCGAGCGGGCACUUUCGGGUGUCAGCGGCGGACGGGUGAGUAACGCGUGGGAACGUGCCCUCUGGUUCGGAAUAACUCAGGGAAACUUGAGCUAAUACCGGAUACGCCCUUUUGGGGAAAGGCUUGCUGCCGGAGGAUCGGCCCGCGUCUGAUUAGCUAGUUGGUGAGGUAACGGCUCACCAAGGCGACGAUCAGUAGCUGGUCUGAGAGGAUGAUCAGCCACGCUGGGACUGAGACACGGCCCAGACUCCUACGGGAGGCAGCAGUGGGGAAUAUUGGACAAUGGGCGCAAGCCUGAUCCAGCCAUGCCGCGUGAGUGAUGAAGGCCUUAGGGUUGUAAAGCUCUUUUAUCCGGGACGAUAAUGACGGUACCGGAGGAAUAAGCCCCGGCUAACUUCGUG